AACGAACGCUGGCGGCGUACUUAACACAUGCAAGUCGGACGAGAAAGGAGACUUCGGUCUCUGAGUAAAGUGGCGUACGGGUGCGUAACACGUAAGUAAUCUACCCCGAACUCUGGGAUAACCCUCCGAAAGGAGGGCUAAUACCAGAUAGGGUCCCCGAGGUGUAGGCUGCGGGGGGAAAACGGGCCUCUGCUUCAUGCUCGUGGUUCGGGAUGAGCUUGCGGCCCAUUAGCUUGUUGGUAGGGUAAUGGCUUACCAAGGCGACGAUGGGUAGCUGGUCUGAGAGGAUGAUCAGCCACACUGGCACUGAGACACGGGCCAGACUCCUACGGGAGGCAGCAGUGGGGAAUUUUGCGCAAUGGGCGAAAGCCUGACGCAGUAACGCCGUGUGGAGGAUGAAGGCCUUCGGGUUGUAAACUCCUGUCAGGGGGAACGACGGAGAAAGGGUGAUAAACCCUUUCCUCCAGACGGUACCUCCAAAGGAAGCCCCGGCUAAUUCCGUGC
Molecule: ribosomal RNA, 504 nt
Filed under: uncultured bacterium
Lineage: Bacteria
Description: bacterial SSU rRNA
Rfam family: Bacterial small subunit ribosomal RNA
Source: RNAcentral